GACGAACGCUGGCGGCGUGCCUAAUACAUGCAAGUAGAACGCUGAAGGAGGAGCUUGCUUCUCCGGAUGAGUUGCGAACGGGUGAGUAACGCGUAGGUAACCUGCCUGGUAGCGGGGGAUAACUAUUGGAAACGAUAGCUAAUACCGCAUAACAGUAGAUGUUGCAUGACAUUUGCUUAAAAGGUGCAAUUGCAUCACUACCAGAUGGACCUGCGUUGUAUUAGCUAGUUGGUGAGGUAACGGCUCACCAAGGCGACGAUACAUAGCCGACCUGAGAGGGUGAUCGGCCACACUGGGACUGAGACACGGCCCAGACUCCUACGGGAGGCAGCAGUAGGGAAUCUUCGGCAAUGGACGGAAGUCUGACCGAGCAACGCCGCGUGAGUGAAGAAGGUUUUCGGAUCGUAAAGCUCGGUUGUAAGAGAAGAACGAGUGUGAGAGUGGAAAGUUCACACUGUGACGGUAUCUUACCAGAAAGAGACGGCUAACUACGUG
Molecule: ribosomal RNA, 495 nt
Filed under: uncultured bacterium
Lineage: Bacteria
Description: partial 16S ribosomal RNA
Rfam family: Bacterial small subunit ribosomal RNA
Source: RNAcentral